This 1624-nucleotide long non-coding RNA is filed under the name Nicotiana benthamiana. RNAcentral's name for it is "long non-coding RNA (NBEN_LNC013688)". The record is from RNAcentral. Lineage: Eukaryota; Viridiplantae; Streptophyta; Magnoliopsida; Solanales; Solanaceae.
ACAGAGUUCUCUCACUCUCUCAUUAUCUCUGUUAACCGACUCCAAUUCUCUCUCUUUAACCUAGCUCUCCUUCUAUUUUUUAAUAUGGUAUCAGAUCCACAGAUCAAUGGAAUUUGAGCUGAGGAAUGAGCAAUUGAGAACAAUUAGCAAUCAGAGGGUAUUUUUCGAAGCAGAACAAGCCUAAUUUCUGCCAUGGAUGUACUGUCCAAAGUUCCUUCAUUUUUUAACAAGUUUUAUGUGUUGUUUCCUUUUUUGACCAAAAAUUUACUUCAAUUUCUGUAGUUUUAAGCUCGUUGUAGUUGCAAUUGCAAGUUUAUCCAACUAUCGCUGAUAAUUUUUGUACAAAUAUCGAUCGACGCUGAAGAUCCAUGUUAGUUUGUAUGGAUCCACCAAGUCUUAGAGUACCGGGUGCUCUACAAGUUUCUGCUGAGAGUACUUACACUACAAGAAUUUGAAUUUUUAGUGAUAACAUAUAGUGGCGACCCAAUAGGUUGCUACAAAAUAUUUAUAGUAUUAGCAGCGACAUUAAAGGUUGCUACAGAAGGUUAAUAUUUAGCAGUGACUCUUCUGAAGUCGCCACAGAUGUGGCUGAAAUUUUUAGUCCCGCUAAGAAUAAAAUUUUUGCUCCUAAUUAUUUGUGGCGACUUUAAACUUAUCGCCGCUAAGAGAUUCUGUAGCGACUAGGUCGCUACUAUACCCUAGAAAUUUUAAUUUAAAAUAACAAAACAAAAUUAAAAAAUCCUCUUUUUACUAAUUAGAAGAAACGAACCCCUUCAAAGUUCAGACACACAAACAUAACCUUCCUCUCUCUAGAAAUUCCCCCUUCUCUCUAAAAUCACAUUUGUGCUAAAAUUUGCAUGACCCAGCUCUAAAUCUCUCUAAUCAAAAUAUGAAUCAGGUAUGUGUCCAAAUCCCUAAUCUUUUCCUUUUUCUUUUAGGAACGAAAAUUUCAUCUAGAUGCUGUUCAAAUCCACGAUUUUGUGGUGGAAGAAGCUAAAAAAUAUUAAUCUGAAAAAGGAAAGAAGAGGGGUUAAGUGAACAGACCUUAUUGGAAAGGUCAUUAUUGAGGCGCUCAAUAUCAAGUCUUUGACCAAAUUUCUCUCUAAAUUCUUCAAGUGUGGAUUCAAUUUCUGAAUUGGGUAUUCCAAAACCACGAUCCUUGAGCAUUUCGAGCAUAGUUCUGCGCGCAAUUAAGUAUAUGUGGCUCUCAACUCUCAUAGUUGCUAGUGACCCUAAUCCUUUCUUUUUUGUUUAUACCCAUACUAGUUUAUAUAUAAAUUUAUGUUUGGGGGUUUUUAUAAGGAUUUUGUAAGGAAAAAUUUUCAACAUGCAGUUAGGGAUUAUUGUUAUUUCAGUAGUUUUACAUUUGUAUUCUUAGAUUUCAUCUCGAAUUUCUCUGAACUGUUUAAUAUCUACAGGAAUACAAACAAUAUAUGGCACUUAAACAAUAUAUGCUAUCGUUCAAGGAUGGUAUCGACCAAGGAGCAAUUACAAGGCACUUAAUAUUUUAUCUUUUUUGAAAUAUGUAUAUGCGUACAAUUAUAUUACAAUGCAUAAUGAAGUUUAGUUUUGUACAAUGAAUUGACCUUUUUAGUAAUAAAAAUAUUUAUAAUAUUCGGUUUCA